AAGAAAAAGAAGAUGAAGAAAAUGAAGAAGAAGAAAAGAAGAAAAAGGAGAAGGAGAAACAAGAGAAGAAGAAAGGAAAGGAACUGAAGAAGGGAUUGAAGGAGGAGGAGGAGGAAGAGGAGGAAGAGGAGGAGGAGGAGGGGGUGGAGGUCAGGAUCCCCCCACCCCCCCUCCUGCCCCCCGCCCACACCUUAGUUAAUUCAAUGCUUCAUAGUGUGUUCACGGAGGGACAGAUAGAGGCCCUGGGCACGGGGGAACCAAGGCUGCAAGUCGUGCUGGGGCCAGGACGACUUCAACUGCGAGGUCGUCUCCUAGUGGUCGUGGCUCUAACUACUACUACUACUACUACUACUACUACUACUACUACUACUGGUGCUGCUGCUGCCUCUGCUAAGGUCGAAUCAACAGAGAAGAGUGAGAGGAGGAGGAGGAGAAGGGAAGAGGAGGAGGAGGAGGAGGAGGAGGAAUGCACGAUCUUCCUUACUGUUGGAGAUGUUUUCUACUUUCCUCCCUCCUCCUCCUCCUCCUCCUCCUCCUCUUCCUCCUUCCUCCACCUCCUCCCCUCAUCGGCCCUGGCAGUCUUCUCCGCAUGAUUGAUAAAUAAACUGAUAGAUAGAUAGAUAGAUAGACAGACACUUGUAACCUAACCUUUAAU
This is a long non-coding RNA of Eriocheir sinensis (Chinese mitten crab), 655 nucleotides long. RefSeq lists it as uncharacterized. NCBI's taxonomy places the organism in Eukaryota, Metazoa, Arthropoda, Malacostraca, Decapoda, Varunidae. The transcript is spliced from 3 exons. The record is from RefSeq and is a predicted model, not a curated record.